UUGUCUCGAAACGGUUAGAACAUAGCUGAAUAUAUCAAACAUGCUAAUGGCAUUGGAUUGACUUUUUGAGAAAUAUAAUAGAAGGUUAACCCUUCAAUAUUGUAGGUUUUACAAAUAUCUUUUGACAGUCCGGAUGUGUGUUUUCCUUUGACCCUGCAAAAGAAUUGUAAAAGGAUGAGCAGUUUUGGAAAAUACCAAAGGCACGUCUAAGCACAGUAGAAUGUCCACAUAUCUCUUUAUCGCUAUAUAAUUCGUUUCGGUACCAUAUGACCUAAUGUUUUUCAUUUUCCUUCUACUCCAGACCAGGCAAGCAACGGCAAUGCUGGACAGGCUACUCUCGCACCAGACUCCCUUUAGGGUAGUUACCCACGGGCACUCACUUCUGCCGUUUAUUAUUACUUGUGAUUCCGCUUGUUGUGACUGGCUUGAUCCAUGUUGCGGCCCAAUUAUUAUUUUUGUUUAGUUGCGAUGGAUCGUCUUGGCUUGCUUUUGGCACACCUGAUUCCACUACCUUCUGUUAUUGCUUGGACCAGUUUACUAUGUACUGAACAUAUUUAUAUCAAUGUUGUGCUUCUGAUAUAAUCUUGCUAUGUUAUACUGGUGAUUUCCAGUGAUUACUCUGAUUUCCUACUUGCGCCAGUGAGUAUACAA
This 651-nucleotide long non-coding RNA is filed under the name Triticum aestivum (bread wheat). RNAcentral describes it as "long non-coding RNA (TAES_LNC003695)". Lineage: Eukaryota; Viridiplantae; Streptophyta; Magnoliopsida; Poales; Poaceae. The record is from RNAcentral.